RNAcentral lists this ribosomal RNA (449 nucleotides) under uncultured bacterium. RNAcentral describes it as "partial 16S ribosomal RNA". It matches the Rfam family "Bacterial small subunit ribosomal RNA", at positions 29 to 523 of the family's 1533-position model. The record is from RNAcentral.
AACGAACGCUGGCGGCAGGCUUAACACAUGCAAGUCGAACGAGAUCUUCGGAUCUAGUGGCAGACGGGUGAGGAACACGUGGGAACAUCCCUUUCAGUUCGGAAUAACGUUGGGAAACUAACGCUAAUACCGGAUACGUCCUUCGGGAGAAAGAUUUAUCGCUGAAAGAUUGGCCCGCGUCUGAUUAGCUAGUUGGUGAGGUAAUGGCUCACCAAGGCUACGAUCAGUAGCUGAUCUGAGAGGAUGAUCAGCCACAUUGGGACUGAGACACGGCCCAAACUCCUACGGGAGGCAGCAGUGGGGAAUAUUGGACAAUGGGCGCAAGCCUGAUCCAGCCAUGCCGCGUGAGUGAUGAAGGCCCUAGGGUUGUAAAGCUCUUUCGCCAGGGACGAUAAUGACGGUACCUGGAUAAGAAGCCCCGGCUAACUUCGUGCCAGCCGCCGCAGUAA